ACCACAGCCGCGGUCGGCCCCGUCCUCUCACGCUCGCGAUGUUGGCACGCGCCGCUCGUUAACUGGAGUCGAGCGAGCGUGUUGCGCGACUGAAGCCGGCGUGGCCGGCCGCAACCCAGCGGUUAGCGUCGCCGGAGCCCUCGGGCUUGGGGCGUCCGGGCGAAGGGCAGGGAUUCAAUCGGCGGGGCCCUUACUCUGCAUUGCACGCGCCGAUAUUUUUUUUUAUGUUUCAACUUUCAAGCACUGGAGAAGCAUAUGGGCCUUGGUGAUCUGGCUUCAAGGCACUAAUGCACAAUGGAUUUUUAGGCUCACUCAGCCUGUCAGCAUGGACUGAAACUGGAGCCCGUCUUUGGAGCUUUCAGUGUGUCUACAUUGAGCCUUGAGUUGUGCAUUGUGAUCUUCUUCCGGGCCUCAAAGUUGCUAAUGGACGGAAGAAAACUCACACACUACACUCUAAAUUUCUAAGUGUAUCAUGUCCGAGGUUGCGUCAGGUUCAAACACUGAGGAUUCUGAGACUCUCAGUCAGUGCCGAGUUAAGAUCUGAGACUCUCAGUCAUCAAUCACAGCAACCAACCAUCCUAGUGCAGCAUCGAACAUCUAGCAUAACAACGCCAUUACGUACGUACAUAGUGGGGAUCACACUAGGAGGGGGAGCGGCAUGAGCAGCUGAGCACCCCCUUUGGCCGAUUUUCUGUCCGCUUCGCUUACGACGGAAUCGCAUUACGUCUGGGUGCAUUGCAAGAUUGUACUAUGAGUUAACGUUUUGUUCUUGGCUCAUCAGAUUUGGAAGGCCCCCGUCGAUCUCAUCCGUGCUCCUCCUGUGGCUCCUGGAGAAACCAAACAGCCAACCGUGGAAGUGGGAUGCGCGGCUGCCGGCAAGCAUGCAAUGCAACGCACGUAGCGUACGUGCGUCAAAGACUGGUGAAAAGAUGAGACCCGCCGCAGUCCGCACGGUCCGAUUAUGUUCUUCUGAAUGAUAUACAUCGGCGGCCGGAGGACCACCGGCGCGCCGAGGUGGAGGAGGAUGAACCUGGCCGCGUUCGUGCGUGUGCUGAGCAACAGCUGCUGGCUACCAUGUCAAAGUCGUCCUUGUUCGGCACCACAUUGCGUGGCUUUUGACAUUUAUGUGUCACCUUCCCAUUAUUCCCCUCCAAUGGUGAGCGCGCAGCAAAGGCUCGGGAGCGGGCCAUGCCAUGUUUCCCUUGGAGCCGAGCGUGCUGCCUCCGUGUGCCACUUGCGGCAGUAGCCCUUGGAGCCGAGCGUGCUGCCUCCGUGUGCCACUUGCGGCAGUAGCUUGGCGAACAUCUGUCCCUGCGGCCCACGGAUUUUGUAACGUCACUGGCUGAUUGAUUGACCAAGUGAUACGAUUGCAGCAACACGUCGGCCGGUGAGCUUCGAAAUGCUGUACACAAAAGGAAGGACCAUUAUCUCGCAGAGUUCUGUACUUCUCUACUUCUGCAAGAGUUGUGUAGUACAGCUUUGCUUAAUUCCUAAGACAUGCAGUACAGAUUAGUCUGGUGCAUGCACAAUAUGCAGGCAUUACAUCGUCGUGUUAAAUGCGUCAUCUGUAUAUAUAAAAGCAAACCAAUAUAUAAAGCAUUACGCCAUAUGCAUUCUACCACUUGUUCGCUUAUUCCCAUUUUCCAGCUUGUGGCUGCAUGGUAGCUUUUUUUUAUAUAGCUCUGCUUGUUGGAGUAUACAGAGAAUAUAUCUAUCCCACGUCAUGCUCAUCACCAACAGUGAUGCCCUGUUUCGUUUUUUUUUUCUUUUUUUUUGCCUUGU
This is a long non-coding RNA of Triticum urartu, 1782 nucleotides long. RefSeq lists it as uncharacterized. Lineage: Eukaryota; Viridiplantae; Streptophyta; Magnoliopsida; Poales; Poaceae. The record is from RefSeq and is a predicted model, not a curated record.